RNAcentral lists this ribosomal RNA (491 nucleotides) under uncultured bacterium. RNAcentral's name for it is "partial 16S ribosomal RNA". It matches the Rfam family "Bacterial small subunit ribosomal RNA", at positions 29 to 506 of the family's 1533-position model. The record is from RNAcentral.
AGUGAACGCUGGCGGUAGGCCUAACACAUGCCAGUCGAACGGCAGCACAGUAAGAGCUUGCUCUUACGGGUGGCGAGUGGCGGACGGGUGAGGAAUACGUCGGAAUCUACUUUUUCGUGGGGGAUAACGUAGGGAAACUUACGCUAAUACCGCAUACGACCUACGGGUGAAAGCAGGGGAUCUUCGUACCUUGCGCGAUUGAAUGAGCCGAUGUCGGAUUAGCUAGUUGGCGGGGUAAAGGCCCACCAAGGCGACGAUCCGUAGCUGGUCUGAGAGGAUGAUCAGCCACACUGGAAAUGAGACACGGUCCAGACUCCUACGGGAGGCAGCAGUGGGGAAUAUUGGAAAAUGGGCGCAAGCAUGAUCCAGCCAUACCGCGUGGGUGAAGAAGGCCUUCGGGUUGUAAAGCCCUUUUGUUGGGAAAGAAAAGCAGCAGGUUAAGACCCCGCUGUUCUGACGGUACCCAAAGAAUAAGCACCGGCUAACUUCGU